CAGCAGCCGCGGGAAUACGAAGGGGGCUAGCGUUGCUCGGAAUGACUGGGCGUAAAGGGCGCGUAGGCGGCGAUCAAAGUCAGGCGUGAAAUUCCUGGGCUCAACCUGGGGGCUGCGCUUGAUACUUGGUUGCUUGAGUGGGGAAGAGGGUCGUGGAAUUCCCAGUGUAGAGGUGAAAUUCGUAGAUAUUGGGAAGAACACCGGUGGCGAAGGCGGCGACCUGGUCCUUGACUGACGCUGAGGCGCGAAAGCGUGGGGAGCAAACAGGAUUAGAUACCCGUGUAGUCCCUGUCUCUUAUAA
RNAcentral lists this ribosomal RNA (301 nucleotides) under uncultured bacterium. RNAcentral's name for it is "partial 16S ribosomal RNA". It matches the Rfam family "Bacterial small subunit ribosomal RNA", at positions 509 to 809 of the family's 1533-position model. The record is from RNAcentral.